Molecule: long non-coding RNA, 441 nt
Organism: Eurytemora carolleeae
Lineage: Eukaryota; Metazoa; Arthropoda; Copepoda; Calanoida; Temoridae
Exons: 4
Source: RefSeq, a predicted model, not a curated record
AAUGGUUGGGCCAUUUAGGAAAAUUAUUUUUAAAUGCUAAAAUUUCGUAUUUGAGCUAGGUUUACCCCAAUGCUCCCAAAAAAAUGUUUUGCACAUCUGGGAAUUUUUUCAGGAGCACCCUAAGCUUAGGUACUUGUUUUUCAUAUUUUCUUUCAUAAAAAAGUCAUAUUUACUAUAUUUUUUAAAAUAUCUUCUUUUGUUUAGGUUAAACAAGACCCAAGAAGAAUUGAUAGAAACAAAACACCAAUUAUCAAGUGCACAACGAGUGAGGUUUAUCAAUCAGAAAAAGUGGCAGGACGAAAUCCAACUUCAGAAACGACUGAGCGCCAAUACACAGCUGAAGGAGCACAUUGUGUUAAAUAUGGAGGCAGAACUAGAACAGGUCUCGCGUCUAAAUGAUCAAAUCGAAAAGUCGAUUCUGAAGAUGCAAUCAAAGGAAAC